GUCGUCAGCUCGUGUCGUGAGAUGUUGGGUUAAGUCCCGCAACGAGCGCAACCCUUGUCCUUAGUUGCCAGCAUUCAGUUGGGCACUCUAAGGAGACUGCCGGUGUUAAACCGGAGGAAGGUGGGGAUGACGUCAAGUCCUCAUGGCCCUUAUGUCCAGGGCUACACACGUGCUACAAUGGCCGGUACAAAGGGCUGCAAGACCGUGAGGUUGAGCGAAUCCCAGAAAGCCGGUCUCAGUUCGGAUUGGAGUCUGCAACUCGACUCCAUGAAGUUGGAAUCGCUAGUAAUCGCGGAUCAGCAUGCCGCGGUGAAUACGUUCCCGGGCCUU
This 330-nucleotide ribosomal RNA is filed under the name uncultured Desulfuromonas sp. RNAcentral's name for it is "bacterial SSU rRNA". It matches the Rfam family "Bacterial small subunit ribosomal RNA", at positions 1051 to 1382 of the family's 1533-position model. Lineage: Bacteria; Pseudomonadati; Thermodesulfobacteriota; Desulfuromonadia; Desulfuromonadales; Desulfuromonadaceae. The record is from RNAcentral.